RNAcentral lists this long non-coding RNA (1762 nucleotides) under Bos indicus x Bos taurus (hybrid cattle). Its description in RNAcentral is "lncRNA (ENSBIXG00005008039.1)". Lineage: Eukaryota; Metazoa; Chordata; Mammalia; Artiodactyla; Bovidae. The record is from RNAcentral.
CGCUGCCUCCCCCAGCCCACCCCGGUGUCUUUGCUCCUGCUGCCUGCUUCCCUUGGAACACCCUUUCCAGGAACUCAAAUUGGGUCUUUGGAACCGGACGGAGUUUCUCCUCCCCCUCCUCCCCUCCCCCUCCUGCCCCUCCCCCACCCCUGCCCCUCCUCCCCUCCCCCACCCCUGCCCCUCCUCCUUCUCGGUGGGGCUUCUCCUCUCACUGAGCUGUUUCCUCUGCCCUUAUCUCCGUAGCCGGGUGAAGCUAGAGUUAUCUGGGUCCGUUGGAAUCUCACAGGGAGCGAACAGCCACCCCCACUCAGGCCCCGCCCCCGGCCCAUUCACUCGGAAUCUGUGGGGCGGAGCUGUCUACGGGCUCCCUGGGCUGAGCCCGCCUGUCUGCUGGCGGGAAGCCAGAGGUCCGGGCUGAGGUCCCUGUGCCACAGGUUCUCAGCACGAUGCCUUACUGCGCGAGCCCAAACUUGUGUGCCUCAGCUUCCUUGUCGGCUUCGAGGGGAUAAAGAUGCCUGUCCUGGGCUGGCCUGGGGUUGGGUGGUGCCCCUGCAUCCCCAAGUGGAUGGUGAGCCAGAGGGCAGGAGCCACAGCUUCCUCGGUGCUGCGUGCAGAAGGGGAAGAAGGGCAGCCGGUGGGAACCGGGACCCAGGCGGAGAGGAAGGCCAGGUGUCUCCACUUAUCAUAAGAGUCUCCAGCGUACAGUUCUCGGUACAGUUCUCCAGAGUAAGUGGCUGCUCAGCUGACCCUGGCCCUCUGUGAAGACCUGCUACUGUCCACCUCUCUCUCCACAUCCUUCCCACCCAUCACUCGGCACCAGUCCCUAAAGGAUUUCUCAUAAGGGUUUCAAAAAGCUUGAAGUGAGCUUGGUUCUGAAGCUGCUGAAUCUAGAGAGUCACUGAAAAUGAAUCAAAAGUCACUACACAAAAACCAACAUCAGGACUUUCCUGGUGGCUCAGUGGAUAAGGAUCCCCAUGCCAAAGCAGGGGACAUGGGUUCCAUCCCUGGUCGGGGAAGAUUGCACAUGCUGCAGAGCAACUGAGCCCAUGCACCAUGACCACUGAGCCUGAGCUCUAGAGCCCUCGAGCCGCGAUUACUGAAUCCACGUGCCCCAGGGCCAGCAGCUCUCAACUCCUGAGCUUGCAUGCUCCUGAGCCCGUGAGCCUAGAGCCUGUGCUCUGCGACAAGAGAAGCCGCCACAGUAAGAAGCCUGUUCACUGCAACUUGAGAGAAGGCCCCGCUCUCCGCAGCCUGGUUGCAGCAACGAAGACCCAGCGCAAACAAAAAUUGUUGUUCAGUCGCUCAGUUGUGUCCAACUGUUUGCGACCCCAUGGACUGCAGCACGUCAGGCUUCCCAGUCCUUCACUAUCUCCUGGAGUUUGCUCAAGCUCACGUCCAUUGAGUCAGUGAUGCCAUCCAACCAUCUCAUCGUCUGUCACACCCCUUCUCCUCCUGCCCUCAACCUUUCCCAGCAUCAGGGUCUUUUCCAAUGAGUUGGCUCUUCGCGUCAAGUGGCCGAUGUAUUGGAGCUUCAGCUUCAGCAUCAGGAUAAACAAAAAUAAUUUAAUUUUAAAAAACCAACAUCUGAUGCAUCAGAGAUUUAAGCAUUAAAACAAAAAGUAAAGCCAUGAAAGCAACUUAAGAAUGUAGGAAAAUGUUUGUUGCUCUUGUCGUGUUGUGUGUGGCUUGCAGAGUCUCAGUUCCCCAACCAGGGACUGAACUUGGGCCACUCCAAUGAAAACCUGGAAUCCUAACCACUAGG